RNAcentral lists this ribosomal RNA (37 nucleotides) under Tortula laureri. RNAcentral describes it as "partial 26S ribosomal RNA". RNAcentral also lists the same sequence under 1 other name. The record is from RNAcentral. Lineage: Eukaryota; Viridiplantae; Streptophyta; Bryopsida; Pottiales; Pottiaceae.
CAGACCUCUGAUCAGAAAAGACUACCCGCUGAGUUUA